AGUGAACGCUGGCGGUAGGCCUAACACAUGCAAGUCGAACGGCAGCACAGUAAGAGCUUGCUCUUACGGGUGGCGAGUGGCGGACGGGUGAGGAAUACAUCGGAAUCUAUUUUUUCGUGGGGGAUAACGUAGGGAAACUUACGCUAAUACCGCAUACGACCUACGGGUGAAAGCAGGGGAUCUUCGGACCUUGCGCGAUUGAAUGAGCCGAUGUCGGAUUAGCUAGUUGGCGGGGUAAAGGCCCACCAAGGCGACGAUCCGUAGCUGGUCUGAGAGGAUGAUCAGCCACACUGGAACUGAGACACGGUCCAGACUCCUACGGGAGGAAGCAGUGGGGAAUAUUGGACAAUGGGCGCAAGCCUGAUCCAGCCAUACCGCGUGGGUGAAGAAGGCCUUCGGGUUGUAAAGCCCUUUUGUUGGGAAAGAAAAGCAGCAGGUUAAUACCCCGCUGUUCUGACGGUACACAAAGAAUAAGCACCGGCUAACUUCGUG
This 492-nucleotide ribosomal RNA is filed under the name uncultured bacterium. RNAcentral describes it as "partial 16S ribosomal RNA". It matches the Rfam family "Bacterial small subunit ribosomal RNA", at positions 29 to 507 of the family's 1533-position model. The record is from RNAcentral.